CGGACGGGUGAGUAACGCGUGGAUAACCUGCCUCACACUGGGGGAUAACAGUUAGAAAUGACUGCUAAUACCGCAUAAGCGCACAGUACCGCAUGGUACAGUGUGAAAAACUCCGGUGGUGUGGGAUGGAUCCGCGUCUGAUUAGCCAGUUGGCGGGGUAACGGCCCACCAAAGCGACGAUCAGUAGCCGACCUGAGAGGGUGACCGGCCACAUUGGGACUGAGACACGGCCCAA
RNAcentral lists this ribosomal RNA (235 nucleotides) under uncultured bacterium. RNAcentral's name for it is "partial 16S ribosomal RNA". It matches the Rfam family "Bacterial small subunit ribosomal RNA", at positions 99 to 334 of the family's 1533-position model. The record is from RNAcentral.